CCUACGGGAGGCUGCAGUGAGGAAUAUUGGUCAAUGGACGAGAGUCUGAACCAGCCAAGUAGCGUGAAGGAUGACUGCCCUAUGGGUUGUAAACUUCUUUUAUCAGGGACGAAACAAAUGACGGUACCUGAUGAAUAAGCCACGGCUAACUACGUGCCAGCAGCCGCGGUAAUACGUAGGUGGCAAGCGUUAUCCGGAUUUACUGGGUGUAAAGGGCGUGUAGGCGGGAGAGCAAGUCAGACGUGAAAUUCCAGGGCUCAACCCUGGAACUGCGUUUGAAACUGUUCUUCUUGAGUGAUGGAGAGGCAGGCGGAAUUCCGUGUGUAGCGGUGAAAUGCGUAGAUAUACGGAGGAACACCAGUGGCGAAGGCGGCCUGCUGGACAUUAACUGACGCUGAGGCGCGAAAGCGUGGGGAGCAAACAGGAUUAGAUACCCCAGUAGUC
RNAcentral lists this ribosomal RNA (444 nucleotides) under uncultured bacterium. Its description in RNAcentral is "partial 16S ribosomal RNA". It matches the Rfam family "Bacterial small subunit ribosomal RNA", at positions 338 to 795 of the family's 1533-position model. The record is from RNAcentral.